GACGAACGCUGGCGGCGUGCCUAAUACAUGCAAGUAGAACGCACAGUUUAUACCGUAGCUUGCUACACCAUAGACUGUGAGUUGCGAACGGGUGAGUAACGCGUAGGUAACCUGCCUGGUAGCGGGGGAUAACUAUUGGAAACGAUAGCUAAUACCGCAUAAUAUUGAUUAUUGCAUGAUAAUUGAUUGAAAGAUGCUAUUGCAUCACUACCAGAUGGACCUGCGUUGUAUUAGCUAGUAGGUGAGGUAACGGCUCACCUAGGCGGCGAUACAUAGCCGACCUGAGAGGGUGAUCGGCCACACUGGGACUGAGACACGGCCCAGACUCCUACGGGAGGCAGCAGUAGGGAAUCUUCGGCAAUGGACGAAAGUCUGACCGAGCAACGCCGCGUGAGUGAAGAAGGUUUUCGGAUCGUAAAGCUCUGUUGUAAGAGAAGAACGGGUGUGAGAGUGGAAAGUUCACACUGUGACGGUAUCUUACCAGAAAGGGACGGCUAACUACGUG
Molecule: ribosomal RNA, 505 nt
Filed under: uncultured bacterium
Lineage: Bacteria
Description: partial 16S ribosomal RNA
Rfam family: Bacterial small subunit ribosomal RNA
Source: RNAcentral